UCUGCUCCGUUUCAGCCUGCUGCCAUCCAGAUUAACCUCAGGGUAAACGGGGGAGGAGGAACGUCAUCGAUUUGGCAUACACCAGUGCUGCCCCUUGGCUGCCUAGGGAGAGCCUGGCAGCCACGGCCCUGGCCUUGGGCAGGCAGGAGGGGGGGCCACUGAGAGCUCCCGGUUCAUGAGCCAGCGGCACCUCCCUGGGGGGGGAGCGGAGGUCUCCACAGCCGCACACGUCUCUGCCGCUGCGCUCAGGGGCUGUAGGCCACUGCUGCAGCUCCCGGCCUGGAGACCACAUCCUCAGGUCCAUUAUUAGGGGCACUUGAGGAAACGGCUCCUGAUCCCUGGCCUGCCACUUCAGGCAAUGAACCCCGAAGGGUCUGCGCGAGCAUGGCAUCCCAGCACAGCACCGCACCGCACCUCACCGAAGCGCUCCUGCGCUGAGGCACCUGCAUCUCGUCUUCCACCUGGGAAACCGGACGGUGAGAGCGCUCCCGGCGGGCGCUGAGCACAGUGCAGGGCUGAGCGCUGACCAGCUCCAAGCCACCGCGGCCUCCUGGCCGCACACACGCUGACGCUCGGGCUGGCAUGGCCCCAAGUGCGAUGCUCCGAGACCUGGGGCGCCGCGCACGGUAGGCUGGGGCCCAGCGGCUCCCUCCCUCUGCCCGUUGCCCGCGCUGGAAGCCUAGGUGCGCUGGGUUGAGGUAAUACCGAGGUGUGUGAGGUCCGCCUGAAAACGUGGCCCGAGGGCCACACGUCAGCCCGGGCAGCCCAAGGCCGAGCCACUUACCACAGGUGGACCCUCCAGAAUUGGCAGGAGAAACGGUGGGAACAGCGCUUUAACUGUGCCCAUGGCUGGAUCACAGACGAAUGAAGAAACGCCUUUGAAAUUCUCUUAUCAUGAAAAUUAUGGAAAAAUCCCAGUGGGAUUCAAAGGUCCAGGGAUGGAGCAACAGCACACUUGAAUUUUUCAUUCCCUGGAAUAUUCCUUCCUAAUUAACCUGCUCUUCUACUCCCCUGGAAGACUCCAGCCUCUGCAUCCCUUUCACUUGGACGAUAACGUCCAAGUGAGAAGCACUGUUUUGAAAGCCAGCCCAUCAAGUUCAAGGAAAAGAGGUGGAUGAGAGCCACGCCCAGCAUGGGUGUUCAACCCAUAAGCUACCCAAGGUGGCAAAGCUGGGAGAAAGGCUCUCUGCAGAUUCCAAAAUGCUGGUGCGCGAUGGGCUCUAGGAACAGAAAGCCAAGUGCCGACGGAAACUGAGAGCUCCCCAACUCUGCCCAGAGUCCUGUAGAAAAGGCAGUAAGAACGGAAGCAAGGGGUGCAACCUGCAGACUGCCAGGCACUGCACCCCGUUCGAUGGCUUUCCCCUCACGCCUUGGGGGGGGGGGGUGCUCCACUGGGUGGAGGAAGGAAGCCAGGGUGGGAUGGGAUGGAUAGCCCCCUCUUCCAUGGCAACCCAGAAGUCAGCUUCUUGGAACUGAGGGUUUCCUCAGCGGGGAGUCUUCAGCUGACCCCUGGGUUGACAGAAUGGGGCAUGGAGAUGACUGCAUGUCGAUGGCUCUCUCUUGCUCUCUGACACCACCAACCUGGAUGGCCACUGGAAUAUUCUGAGAUGAAAAUGAAGUCUCUCUUCAGAGUUCCUAGGGGUGAAUGAUGCAGUCACUGGGAACUCCUGGCUAUUUUAUUGCAUUAGGAAACAAAACCAUUAAAGCAUUUAAGACAGCCCUUUUGUGUCCCUGCCAAGGAGAUGAAGUGGAUUCGCAACACCUGUUGCCCCGCAGCCUUGGGCGCUUCACUGAACUGUGCCAUGUCUGCAUCAUCCAUACCCGCUUUCGUGGAGGAACAGAGUCUGCCCGCAGGGCAUGCACAUGCGCGGUGAGCCGGGACGCAGUGCGAUGGGGGGAGGCUGCUACUCCAUGCCACUCCGAAGGAUCUGGUUGGCCGCGAUCAGCAUGACGCUUAUGAUGAAGGCCAUGGCGAAGGCGCAGAUGAGGCUCUUGCGGACGCAGGUCUGUCUGUUCUGUUUCUGGGAAUGCACUGGGGUUGGGGGGGGGAGGAAGAAGAGAGAAAUGACACAGUGAGACAGGCUGAUCUCCUCCUCCACCAGCCCAGUUCAUAGGCCAAAGAGCGGUCACAUGGACAAGCAUCUCUGGGACCAUUCUCAGAGGCCGGACAGCACCUCUUCUGGCAAAUGGUUCGAAACAGUAAAGCUUCUAUAACAAAAACCAUGAGAGAUGAGAUGUUCAGAGGAAGGUACAAACUUCCAGGCCCAGUAGACCUACAGUGACUUUCUGAGUGAGAAAUAUGGAACAUUUCAGGGUUUCACAAAAGGCAUCAUCCAGGCAUCACUGUGUCCCUUCCUGCAGAACACCGGGCUCCCAUUUCUGAGAUAGCUCUUGCUGACACAGCGAGGUUCUGAUGCUUCCCUACUUAUCCCCACCCAGCGGGAAGCAACUUACCCUCCCAGAUCUCUUCUUGUGGCUGCUGGUGAAAAUGACUAAAUGCCUUCUGGUAUUAUUUUGGCUGUGCAUACCAGUGGUUCUGGACUGGGGUCCCUAGGCAAGCAGCAUCCGCAUCACUGGGACUUAAUAAAAAUGCAGGUGCUCAGGCCAGACCCCAUGCCCAAUCUACUGAAUCAGGAAUUCCAGGGAUGAGGCUAGUGAUCUACAUUUACUAGGGGAUUCUGGUGAAAUCUGAGAAGUGGAGACCACAUGCUCUGUGGACAGGACCAAUGUGAAGCAUGGAGAGAGGCACAAAACCCUGCCAGACUUUUCAGAGGCAGGGUGUCCCUGCCCCCGUGCCCUGUUGCACCCGGGGUCUGACCUUGGAUCCUAGGGUUGUGUUCUCUUAAUCCUUUUUGUUGGGCUAGGUCUUGUACCAUCAUUUUUAGAAAGCCCUUGAGGAGCCAUUAGUGUAGAUCUGAAUCAGUAGGAAAGUAAUACAGACCAGAUACAGGGAAAUGGAAAUCAGAAAGAAAAGCUUUGAUAAAGUGUGCUGAGGAUGAACAGGUCUCUUUUCCAGGCAUUGCUUCCCAUGCCAGAACUUCUUUUCUUGCUUUUUCUUCUAUUAGUCUACACAUUCCCCUUUCCCAUCUGUCUGUCCAUCCGUGAUUUUUGCACACAAUUUGCCACUUAACAUAUGGAAGAAAUCUGUGCCCUGGAGGCAGGUGGGAAGCUGUGCACACCAGAGCUACUCACUGGACCAGCAGCAGCAGCACCAUCUCAGAGUUUGAUGUAAAUGUAAAAUCUUGGGUCCCACUGCAGAAUUACCGAAUCAAAAUCUCUGGGUGUGGAGGCCAGGAAUUCAUGAAUUGGUAAGUUCUCCAAGUGAUUAGGGAAUUGUGGGGCCCCAGCCCCAGAGUUUUUGAUUCAUUAGGACGGUGGGGAGUAAAGAAUCUGAUGAAGUUUGAGUUGCUGGGGGACCUGACAGGGGUGUGUGUGUGUGUGUGUGUGUGUGUGUGUGUGUGUGUGUUAGGGACACAGGGUGGGAGGCACUGGGAAAGAUGGUUCUUUAGAUUCAGACGUUAAGAAACCCAGGACCAGGACAGAAGAACAUUUUCAGAUUACUCUCCAUUUUGAAAAGGGGUCCUUCUACCUUUGCAAACUUCCAGCUGAGGAGAGUGGUUUUUCUUUAGGCCAGAUCAUCGAAGGGGGAGAAAGAAAUACAAUAUCCCUUCAUAUUACUUGCAGUCUCUCUCUGUGAGGAAAGAAGACUGGCAAAAGAGCAAGGUCAAGGUAGGGGCCACAUGCCUUUAAAGAACCUAAAAAUGGUUCAAUUUCAGGUAUGUCUUCCCUUUGACAAUCAGUGGCUCCUCUGAAGUCCCUGGAAAUAAUAAGGAAGAAGUAGGAGGCCUGGGAUGUUCCAAGGACAAACAGAGCAUUCCCUGAGAGAAGGGGUCUCAGGGAGUCGUCCAGGGGUCUCUAAAAAUUAUAUCAACCAUGAGGGUUUCUCCAGCAAGCCACAUUUCACAGAGAUCCAGGGCUCCCUGGCACAGCUCUCCGUCACCAAUGCUCGUUGGUUAUUUCUGCCACCAUCUCUUAGGUGCUGUCUUAUUAUCUUUAAUCCUGGAUCUUCUGGGCUUUUGCUUCUCUUGGGUGAUUGGGAGUAUUUUUGGCUCAGUUCUCCACUUGCUGAUCAUGUCUCAGUCUUAGAAUCUUACAAAUCCUUACCUGGAGGAAGAAAAUUUCCUUGGUGCAGAGUUGUGCCUUCCCCUGCCCCCAGGAGUGAGCAAAUGUAAAAACGUGCCAGCGCUCAGCAAGGAAAAGGGGAGGUGGUGUUUCAGAAGGAUAAGGACCCUAGCAGAAAAUAAAAUGAAGAUGCGGAAGUAGCGUAUCUAACACUUUCUGAGGUCUGGCUAAUUUAUUCUGGGCAGCUCCUCAGCAUAAAAAUGCUUCUGAAGGCAGUCAUCUACCUUUCUGUCCUGAGGGCUGGCGAAGGCCAAGAAAAAUUGUGUGAUUACGCUGAGGGAGAAAUUUUUGGCUGAAGCUCUUCUUUGUGAAGGACACUCGGAAAACAAGGUUAUGGGCAACAGGAUUAUCCCCCAGGAGAGUGGCUGCAUCUUUGAUCUGAAAAUCCUUCAAAGCAGUAGGAAGGGAGAGAUAGGGAAGGAGGAAAGGCCUGGAGACCUAAUAGUUUAUACUUGAGGCCCUGCAAAUCUGAACCCAGACCAAAGUCCUGCAAGCAGAGUGGCGCUUCUAACUCGUUCCUCGGGAGCUCUGACACACGUCAUUGUUUGAGUCUGCAAUACUCAACAUGCCCUGAUGAGAGUCCUUUGACAUCCGGUUCUCAAGUUGUCACCAAUUGUGCAGCAGGGUACAAAAGUAACGACCCCAGAGCCAGAGCCAAGUCUGAGUCAUGGCUGCUCCACAUCUUGGCUGUGUGACCUUGGGCCAGCGAAUUUGCCCCAGCCUCAAACAGUUCGCUCAUCUAUGAAAUGGGACUAGUAAAACCUAUCUUGUUGUGAAGAUUAAGGAUAGACGAAGGUACUGCGGUAUCGUUUGUGCCCAGUAAAUGCCAGUUCUCUCUUGUAAACCUUUUAUAAACUCCCCUUUGCUUAUUGAACACCGCCAGAGCAGGCCUGGCAUGCGCAAAAUUACACAGCAUCUGUCCUGGAGAGCAGGGUGUGUGACCGUCACGUAAUAGGCCACGGCUUGGAGAACUGGAGUCCAAGUUCAUUUGGCAAGUGGCAGAGGUGGAGCGUGAGCCAGGUCUGAUUCUAAUAACCAGGUUCAAAACUUCUAUCUCUUUGAUCUUUUGCUCAGCAAUAGAAAGCUCAGCAUUUGCAAGAUCCAAAGAAAAUGCAUUCAAAUACCUGAUGUGGUCGACAGAGUGCAACCCGGCACGAAUUAAUGUGUUUGUUGAUAGUAAUUUAAGGUCUGUCUUUGGCUAUCAUAUAUUUGCACUGUGUUAUAGUUUUGGGGUUUUAUUUACUUUCUUUGCUAGGCUUUGCUUCCCCUGCAAGACUACAGGUCAGCCCAGGAUGAACUGUGGGGUCCGGCUUAGGGUUUCUAUUAACCACACUUAGGAGCAGCUCCGGGCAAGUGAGUGAAUUCUGAGCCUCAGUUUUUCUCUCGGUAAAAGGAGCUAGUGAUAACUGUUCUGCCAAUGUCAAGAAUUAUCUCAAAGAUGAAUGAGCUAAUAAAAAAAAAUGAAGGCUAUGUCCAACUGUGAAUUGCUAAAGAAAUGCAAGACUUCCUCCUUUCCCUUCAGGGCUGGAGGAAAGGUCUGCUCAUUUUUCUCCUGUUCCCUGUAGCCUCCAGCAUGGGAAUGCAUAUCCAAGCAGUGCUCCCAGACUUUGCUGUGAUUCCUUCCCUCAUUAAUUCAUUCCAGGCUGCAGUGAGUCGCAUCUUCGUACAGUGGCACUUAGUAUGCACCACUAGUGCCUGCAACCUUUCUGCAAAGAUCUUGCUGGAGAAGUGCAUUCCAUCCAGCUCCUGAGCUCACUAGGGAGGACCACAGACCACCUCCUACCCUUUCCUACCUCUGCUCCUCAACCACCGUGCCUCUCUGCCAUCAACCCCUGUUUCAGGCAAGCAGCUCAUCCCCACACAAGACUCUGCGUUGCUACCCAAGACCUGGUGCCAGUUCCUUCUGCUAUGGGUGCCUGCUGACCCUGCCUCUCAUUUCUUUUGGGCCCACCCCAAACUACUUUCCUAGGAGGCUUCUAGGCUUCUCCUUUGUUGCUCUCAAAGAGCUUGGUCCUUUUACAUUUUUGGAUUCUCUAACUCCCAGUAUAUAUUUAAUUGUAAUUGAGAUGGCAUUCCCAUACCAGGACAUUCACCCUUCUAGGGUGUACAAUCCAAUGGCAUUUAGUACAUUUGCAAGGUUGUGAAAGCAUCACCACUACCUAAUUCCAGAAUGUUUUCAUCACUGUAAAAAGAGGGAUCCCACUCACAUUAGAUGUCAUGCUUCAUUCCCACCUCCCCAGCCCCUGUCACUCACUAAUCUACUUUCUGUCUCUGUGGAUAUAUCUAGCCUGGGUAUUGCAAAUAUAUUACAGGGCAUGCAGCCUUUUGUGCCUUACUUCUUUCACUUAGCCAGGCCCAUGCAUGCUGUAGCAUGCAUUUGUACUUUAUUCCUUUUUGUGUCACAUUUUGUUUAUCCGCUCACCAGCAGAUGGACAUUGGAGUUGUGUCCAAUUUUUGGCUACUAUGGGUAAUGCUGCUAUAACACUCUUAUUCAACUUUUUGUGUGGACAUGUUUUUGGCUCUCUUGGGUACAGAUCUAGGAGUCAAAUUUCUGGGUCAUAUGGUAACUCUUUUUGAGGAACCUAAAACUGAACACUGCAAAUGGCAAGAAUGCAUCAUGCUGCUGGCAAUCCUUUUUAUGUCUACCUUCCCAUCAGGCCUUGAACUCCUUUCUAGGCUAGUGGUUGACAGAUUAGGAGCCCUGAAAGUACAUGGGGAUAAAAUGUGAGUUGAGGGACGCUGACACAGGAGGACACACAGAAGUGGGGUCUCGAGUCUUCUUGAAAGCUUGUUAGCAAGUCCUGAGCACCUGCAGGCUCUUGGCUGCUGUGACAGGACCUGGGUUUGUGAGCUCUAGCAGCAGAUCCCUCCUUUAGCUUUCUCAUUUUAACAGAGAUUCACACUGCUCCAUUCGGCAAAUGACAGGCAGUGACUCUUGGAUUUUCUCCUGGAGACAGGGGUCUGUACAGUUUUGCCACUGACUAGCUGGAUGACCCUGGAUAUAUGGAGUUCACAAUCCCUCUGGCUUCUCUUAGAAAUGGGGCUGCAGGUCUGCAGGCACUGGCUCCCCAAUGAGGCAAACCAGAAUCAUGACAAUUCUGAUUAAUUGCACCAACACAGAGCUAGGUAAUUGAUAUUUCUGGCAGCAGGCACUUGGGGCUCAGGAAUGUUUAAAAACAAAACAAUAUAAAACCCAUUUUAGGUGAUUCUCACAAUGAGCCAGAACUACCAGGUGUGGGCGCUAUUAUUGCUCUGUGAUCCUUCCAGCUCUAACAUUUUAUGAUUUUAUGAAACUGAAUUAUUUCCAUAGCCUGAAGUGGAACUAGUUAAGAGCUUCUGAAAGAGAUUUUUUUAUUCGUCAGGAAUGCUCAGGUACCCCAGUUAAGACCUGAAGACAAGAUGGACAAGGUGGCCUCUGAGGAGACAGCAGGGAGGCUGUGUCUCAGGCAAGUGACCUAAUACAUGGUGAAGCAGGAUUUUGAGCCAGGCCUGUCCAGAGUGCAGAGCUGGAGUUCUUCACCGCCAGGUGAAGACUCAAAAACAGUCUCCAGCCUUCUGACCUGUGUCUCAGAUUCUCAUCUCUCCUCACUCAUGGCUCCAGAAAAUUUUCCUACAGGAUUGCUGGAAAGGAUUCCCAAAUAGAAGACAAAUCUCUUCCUUUCUGAAGCCCCAAAUCUUUUUGAAAACUGUCUCCUGUCUCACCACCUGCCAUGGACCUCAGCUACACCUUAACCUCUUACCUCUACCCAAGGAGGACAGGUUUUAUUUAAGGAAAGUCAAAGCACCAGGCAAACCAGGAGCAGAUGGUAGAGAUGACAUAUUAUGCCCUUUUCAUUUGGAUGGGCCUGAAAUACCCAAUGUGCACGGCCAGGUGAUGGGGCAAGGCUUCCCAUCUGGGUGUGCAUUUGACAUCCUGAUAGGAAUACUGCAACUUCAGCAGGAAUGGCUGAGCAGGUGACCUUGGAUUUGGCUGCAAAUUCUUCCUGACCUUCCAGAGAGCCCAGAAAUUGUUGAAUCUGGAUGUGACUGUCAUUGUUCAAUCUUUGCAUUGGACAGAUGAAGAAAAGAAGACCCAGAGAGUUUUUAAAUAACUCACCCAGGGCCAGGGCGCCUGGGUAGCUCAGUUGGUUGAGCUUCCAACUCUUUGUUUUCACUCAGGUCAUGAUCUCAGGGUCAUGAGACUGAGCCCCACAUUGGACUCUGCACUCAGCAAGGUUGGGAUUA
Canis lupus familiaris (dog) is the source of this 8406-nucleotide long non-coding RNA. RefSeq lists it as uncharacterized. The record is from RefSeq and is a predicted model, not a curated record. Lineage: Eukaryota; Metazoa; Chordata; Mammalia; Carnivora; Canidae. The transcript is spliced from 4 exons.